Molecule: long non-coding RNA, 434 nt
Organism: Mastomys coucha (southern multimammate mouse)
Lineage: Eukaryota; Metazoa; Chordata; Mammalia; Rodentia; Muridae
Exons: 2
Source: RefSeq, a predicted model, not a curated record
CAGAGCAUCAGGAAAGCCACUUUUCACUGUGUUAUGCUGUUUAUCGGAUCUGUAAGGAUACCUCUUAGUAAAGAGAAAAAGGUUACUUCUAGUCUUACUUUUCUGAGACUCAUUUUAAAAUCCCAAAAAGCCAGCUGCCAUGCAGUGAAUAGCUUUAUGAAGAGGCUCUGUGCUGAAGAAUUUUACUGCCAACAUUAUGAGUCAUCAUGGAGGUGACUUGCUAGCUCAUUCAAGUUCUCAGCUAAUAUGAACCCAAGUGAACAUCAUGAUUACAACCUCAUGGCAGACCUUAGCCUGAACCAUUUGCCUCCGAGAUUUGGUACUCUUAGUCAUGUGUAAAAAAAAUAUAUCUUUCUUUCAAGUUGAUAAAUUUGAGCAAAACGUGUCUUGUCAUGUAAUAACAAAUUUCUAAUAAAAUUGGCAUUAGGACAGAA